GACGAACCGUCCUAACGUUGUUCGGAAUCACUGGGCUUAAAGGGCGCGUAGGCGGGCCGCCAAGUCUGAGGUGAAAUCUUUCGGCUUAACCGGAAAAUAGCCUUGGAUACUGGCGGUCUCGAGGGUGGUAGGGGCAUGUGGAACUUCCGGUGGAGCGGUGAAAUGCGUUGAUAUCGGAAGGAACGCCGGUGGCGAAAGCGACGUGCUGGACCACUACUGACGCUGAGGCGCGAAAGCCAGGGGAGCAAACGGG
Molecule: ribosomal RNA, 253 nt
Filed under: uncultured bacterium
Lineage: Bacteria
Description: partial 16S ribosomal RNA
Rfam family: Bacterial small subunit ribosomal RNA
Source: RNAcentral